UUAUAUCAUAUAUUUCAUAUUGUAUGUUGUGUGUUACAACACCACAACAUAUAAAAAUAAAUUGUAAUAUAAAAAAUAUACUAAAGUUGUGACUAUGUACAACACCUGGACACAUGUCUACAGAGCAAAAAUUUUUACUGAAAUAUCUACGAUAUCAUUGAAAAAUAUUUACUUUCUACUAAUGGAUAUUGUUGUGGAAAUAAUAAUGAAAUACGACAAUGACUAGAAGAUAAAACCUUUUGGAUCAGUACUACGGAUAUUAUUCUCAUUUUUAAUCUUUGCCAAAUGGGAGAAUACGCCGAGAAAUGACUGAUACUAAAAAUAGCUGCACCUACACCUCACCAACAGUCAGAAUUUUAAUUUGUUAAUAGCUUCUGAAAUAUUAUUCUAAAAUAUAUUAUCAACUGUCGUAAUAUGAUCAAUGCUUUGCA
Long non-coding RNA from Daktulosphaira vitifoliae (grape phylloxera), 431 nucleotides. RefSeq lists it as uncharacterized. Lineage: Eukaryota; Metazoa; Arthropoda; Insecta; Hemiptera; Phylloxeridae. The transcript has 3 exons. The record is from RefSeq and is a predicted model, not a curated record.